This 73-nucleotide transfer RNA is filed under the name Chloroflexota bacterium. RNAcentral's name for it is "Chloroflexi bacterium (marine metagenome) tRNA-Asp". It matches the Rfam family "tRNA". From Rfam's summary of the family: Transfer RNA (tRNA) molecules are approximately 80 nucleotides in length. Their secondary structure includes four short double-helical elements and three loops (D, anti-codon, and T loops). The record is from RNAcentral. Lineage: Bacteria; Bacillati; Chloroflexota.
GCCCGCGAGGUGUACUGGAUUGCAUGUCGGCCUGUCACGCCGAAGGCAGCGGGUUCAAUUCCCGUCGCGGGCG